UACGUAGGUGGCAAGCGUUGUCCGGAUUUAUUGGGCGUAAAGCGCGCGCAGGUGGUGCGGUAAGUCUGCCGUGAAAUCUCCCGGCUCAACUGGGAGGGUGCGGUGGAGACUGCCGGACUAGAGGUGCCUAGAGGUCGGUGGAAUUCCCGGUGUAGUGGUGAAAUGCGUAGAGAUCGGGAGGAACACCAGUGGCGAAGGCGGCCGGCUGGGGGUGACCUGACGCUGAGGCGCGAAAGCGUGGGGAGCGAACCGG
RNAcentral lists this ribosomal RNA (253 nucleotides) under uncultured prokaryote. Its description in RNAcentral is "partial 16S ribosomal RNA". It matches the Rfam family "Bacterial small subunit ribosomal RNA", at positions 524 to 776 of the family's 1533-position model. The record is from RNAcentral.